Molecule: unclassified non-coding RNA, 327 nt
Filed under: soil metagenome
Description: partial contains 5.8S ribosomal RNA, internal transcribed spacer 2, and large subunit ribosomal RNA
Rfam family: 5.8S ribosomal RNA (bases 1-120)
Source: RNAcentral
GAUGAAGAACGCAGCGAAAUGCGAUAAGUAAUGUGAAUUGCAGAAUUCAGUGAAUCAUCGAAUCUUUGAACGCACAUUGCGCCCCCUGGUAUUCCGGGGGGCAUGCCUGUCCGAGCGUCAUUACAACCCUCAAGCUCAGCUUGGUGUUGGGCCCCGCCGCCCCGGCGGGCCCUAAAGUCAGUGGCGGUGCCGUCCGGCUCCGAGCGUAGUAAUUCUUCUCGCUCUGGAGGUCCGGUCGUGUGCUCGCCAGCAACCCCCAAUUUUUUUCAGGUUGACCUCGGAUCAGGUAGGGAUACCCGCUGAACUUAAGCAUAUCAAUGCGGAGGA